This 2237-nucleotide ribosomal RNA is filed under the name Niphargus fontanus. RNAcentral describes it as "bacterial SSU rRNA". It matches the Rfam family "Eukaryotic small subunit ribosomal RNA". The record is from RNAcentral. Lineage: Eukaryota; Metazoa; Arthropoda; Malacostraca; Amphipoda; Niphargidae.
CCUAUCUGGUUGAUCCUGCCAGUAGUCAUAUGCUUGUCUCAAAGAUUAAGCCAUGCAUGUCUAAGUCCAAGCUGUGUCUGACACGGCGAGACCGCGGACGGCUCAUUAAAUCAGUCGUGGUCCAAAUGGGCCAGUGUUAACUUACUUGGAUAACUGUGGUAAUUCCAGAGCCAAUACAUGCAACUCAUAUCCUGAAGGCAGCGCUCUCUUGUAGGGCGUGUUCGCUCGACGGAUGCUUUUAUUAGACCAAACCGCUGAGGGCGUGCGUUGCUUCGGCUUCCGCGCUUGACUCGUUCGAUGGUGACUCUGGAUAACCUUUUUGACAAGCGCACGUACCCCUCUUUUGAGUGGGACGGCGCUGCCACUUUCGAGUGUCUGCCUUAUCAGCUAUCAACCGUUCGUUAUGUGCGACCGAUGGCUUUGACGGGUAACGGGGAAUCAGGGUUCGAUUUCGGAGAGGCAGCCUGAGAGACGGCUACCACGUCCAAGGACGGCAGCAGGCACGCAAAUUACCCAAUCCCAGCAACUGGGGGAGGUAGUGACGAAAUCUAACGAUGCGGGCGCCCUAUUUGGGGCCCCGCAAUCGGAAUGAGCACUUUCUAAACAACCUCUUGAGAACCUACUGAAGGGCAAGUCUGGUGCCAGCAGCCGCGGUAAUUCCAGCUUCAGCAGCAUCUAUUAAAGUUGCUGCGGUUAAAAGGCUCGCAGUUGAAUGUCAGUAUCGAGCGCAGGUCAGGUGGACGCUGGGGCGUGGGAACACAAGGCGCGGUACGGGCCCUUGCCUCGCGCUUGUGGUACCGGCCGUGUCUCUCACAUACCCCCGUCCGUUACAAGCCUCCUCGCUCGCGUACAUAUCGGAAUUGGUCAAACGGAGUGUGCGCAGUCCCUCGCGUUUCUCGUCUUCAAGGCCGCGUUCGCGCGUGUCGGUUGGCGGGUGCGUGUGGGGGCUCGCACGUUAAGCUCCUUCGGUUUCAUGGUCACCUUGAGUAAAUCAGAGUGCUCAAAGCAGUCGUAGGGGCCUUGCGCCCUGUGAACAGUCUUGACGGACUGACUUGGUUUUGCAUGGCAUGUCGGAAGACGACGUCGUGUGCUGGCUCAGAGAUUAUCAGUGGUGCAAGCCAGCCUCGACGUACUGAUUAACAGGGACGGUCGAGGGCAUUGGUAUUGCGAGGCGAGAGGUGAAAUUCUAUGACCCCCGCAAGACCUCCUGAAGCGAAAGCGUCUGCCAAGGACGUUUUCAUUAAUCAUGAACGAAAGUUAGAGGAUCGAAGGCGAUCAGAUACCGCCCUAGUUCUAACCCUAAACGAUGCCAACCAUCAAUCCGCGCGUAGCUCCCAUCUUAACGGGCUCGGCGGGCAGCUCCCCACUCACGGGAAACCAGAGUCUCUGGGUUCCGGGGGGAGUCUGGUUGCAAAGCUGAAACUUAAAGGAAUUGACGGAAAGGCACCACCAGGCGUGGAGCCUGCGGCUUAAUUUGACUCAACACGGGCCAUCUCACCAGGCCAGCACUCUUGUACGAUUGACAGAUUGAGAGCUCUUUCUCGAUUCAGUGGAUGGUGGUGCAUGGCCGUUCUUAGUUGGUGGAGUGAUCUGUCUGGUUAAUUCCGAUAACGAACGAGACUCUCCCCUGCUAACUAGUCGGCUGGAUCUUUAUCGGUGAGUUGUGUGCCGAGAACACCUGGGUGCGGGCGCGUGGGGUUGCUGCGGUUUUACCAAGGCUCUCCCGUGCUUCGUAUCUCGGGCCUCGGGCCACACACUCCAAGUCCGCCGCUUAUUGUAUAACUCUUCUUAGAGGGAUUCACGGUUCUGAAGCCGUCAGAGACUGAGAGCAAUAACAGGUCUGUGAUGCCCUUAGAUGCUCUGGGCCGCACGCGCGCUACAAUGCCGGGCACAGCAGGUGUUUCUCCUGCUCCGACAGGAGCAGUUAACCCUCUGAAAGCCACUGUUUUUGUCGUGUCUGACACGAAAGGCGUGCUUGGGCCUGGGGCUUGCAAUUCUUUCCCACCAACGAGGAAUGCCUAGUAGCGGCGGGUCACUGAGCCCGCUGUGACUCAGUCCCUGCCCUUUGUACACACCGCCCGUCGCUACUACCGAUUGGGUGUACCAGUGAGAGCCUUGGACUGACGUCCGUUGCCUUCGGGCAAGCGGGUCCGACGGAAAGAGGUCCGAACUGGUGCACUUAGAGGAAGUAAAAGUCGUAACAAGGUUUCCGUAGUGAACCUGCGGAAGGAUCAUUA